GUUUCUUCUCGACUAACACCGACAAAUAAUGAAAAUCGUGUGAAACGAAAGGGUGAAACGACAACGCAACAUGUUGGAUCACCAAAUUCACCUUUGGAAGGUCAUUCUCCAAACGCACCCAAUGAAAAUGGUUCGUCGUUCCAACCACAUUCUCCAUCAUCGUCACCUGGUCAAGAAGAAAGUGUGGAGAGUCCUUCAGGUUCCGCUAGGGAAACACCUACAAACGAAGCAAGUUUCAUUGGAAGAUCACCAAAUAAUAAUGAAGAUCAUUUGAAAACAUCAAGUGGGGCUCCUUCGUCAACACCUACAAUUGGUAAAUCAAUUCCAUCGUUGGAACCACAACAAGAAGACAUGGCAUCUCCACAAACAGGAUCUCCUCGACGAACACCGACAGAUAAUAAAAAUCAUGUGAAACGAAAGGGUCAAACAACAACGCAACAUGUUAGAUCACCAAAUUCACCUUUGGAAGGUCAUUCUCCAAACGCACCCAAUGAAAAUGGUUCGUCGUUCCUACCACAUUCUCCAUCAUCGUCACCUGGUCAAGAAGAAAGUGUGGAGAGUCCUUCAGGUUCCGCUAGGGAAACACCUACAAACGAAGCAAGUUUCAUUGGAAGAUCACCAAAUAAUGAAGAUCAUUUGAAAACAUCAAGUGGGGCUCCUUCGUCAACACCUACAAUUGGAAAAUCAAUUCCAUCGUUGGAACCACAACAAGAAGACAUGGCAUCUCCUCAACCAGUUUCUUCUCGACUAACCCCGACAAAUAAUGAAAAUCGUGUGAAACGAAAGGGUGAAACAACAACUCAACAUGUUGGAUCACCAAAGACACCUUUGGAAGGUCAUUCUCCAAACGCACCCAAUGAAAAUGGAUCGUCGUUCCUACCACAUUCUCCAUCAUCGUCACCUGGUCAAGAAGAAAGUGUGGAGAGUCCUUCAGGUUCCGCUAGGGAAACACCUACAAACGAAGCAAGUUUCAUUGGAAGAUCACCAAAUAAUAAUGAAGAUCAUUUGAAAAUAUCAAGUGAGGCUCCUUCGUCAACACCUACAAUUGGUAAAUCAAUUCCAUCGUUGGAACCACAACAAGAAGACAUGGCAUCUCCACAAACAGGAUCUCCUCGACUAACACCGACAGAUAAUGAAAAUCAUGUGAAACGAAAGGGUCAAACAACAACGCAACAUGUUGGAUCACCAAAGACACCUUUGGAAGGUCAUUCUCCAAACGCACCCAAUGAAAAUGGAUUGUCGUUCCUACCACAUUCUCCAUCAUCGUCACCUGGUCAAGAAGAAAGUGUGGAGAGUCCUUCAGGUUCCGCUAGGGAAACACCAACAAACGAAGCAAGUUUCAUUGGAAGAUCACCAAAUAAUGAAGAUCAUUUGAAAACAUCAAGUGGGGCUCCUUCGUCAACACCUACAAUUGGAAAAUCAAUUCCAUCGUUGGAACCACAACAAGAAGACAUGGCAUCUCCUCAACCAGUUUCUUCUCGACUAACACCGACAAAUAAUGAAAAUCGUGUGAAACGAAAGGGUGAAACAACAACUCAACAUGUUGGAUCACCAAAUUCACCUUUGGAAGGUCAUUCUCCAAACGCACCCAAUGAAAAUGGUUCGUCGUUCCAACCACAUUCUCCAUCAUCGUCACCUGGUCAAGAAGAAAGUGUGGAGAGUCCUUUAGGUUCCGCUAGGGAAACACCUACAAACGAAGCAAGUUUCAUUGGAAGAUCACCAAAUAAUGAAGAUCAUUUGAAAACAUCAAGUGGGGCUCCUUCGUCAACAC
This 1771-nucleotide long non-coding RNA is filed under the name Zostera marina. RNAcentral's name for it is "long non-coding RNA (ZMAR_LNC004438)". The record is from RNAcentral. Lineage: Eukaryota; Viridiplantae; Streptophyta; Magnoliopsida; Alismatales; Zosteraceae.